GACAUAAGCAAUUUGUCUUCAGUCACUGAGUUCUUCCAGCCAGUUGUCAUUCUAGAGUCUUCAGGUACUCAUUUAAGAAUGCAAGCCAUAGGUUAUCAGAAUGUAUUUGACAGUAUGUAUUUUUCUUUUGUCCCCAGAGUUGGCAAUGAUGAGAACAUGUCAAACACCUGGAAAUUCCUGUCUCAUUCAACAGACUCACUAAAUAAAAUCAGCAAGGUCAAUGAAUCAACAGAAUCACUUACUGAUGAGGGUACAGACAUGAAUGAAGGACAACUACUGGGAGACUUUGAGAUUGAUUCCAAACAGCUGGAAGCAGAAUCUUGGAGUCGGAUAAUAGACAGCAAGUUUCUAAAACAGCAAAAGAAAGAUGUGGUCAAACGGCAAGAAGUAAUAUAUGAGUUGAUGCAGACAGAGUUACAUCAUGUCCGCACUCUCAAAAUCAUGAGUGAUGUGUACAGCCGGGGGAUGAUGAUAGAUCUGCUUUUUGAGCAGCAGAUGGUAGAAAAGCUGUUCCCCUGUUUGGAUGAGCUGAUCAGUAUCCAUAGCCAAUUCUUUCAGAGGAUUCUGGAGCGGAAGAAGGAGUCUCUGGUGGAUAAAAGUGAAAAGAACUUUCUCAUCAAGAGGAUAGGGGAUGUACUUGUAAAUCAGUUUUCAGGUGAGAAUGCAGAACGUUUAAAGGAGACAUAUGGCAAGUUUUGUGGGCAGCAUAACCAGUCUGUAAACUACUUCAAAGACCUUUAUGCCAAGGAUAAGCGUUUUCAAGCCUUUGUAAAGAAGAAGAUGAGCAGUUCAGUUGUUAGAAGGCUUGGAAUUCCAGAGUGCAUAUUGCUUGUAACUCAGCGGAUUACCAAGUACCCAGUUUUAUUCCAAAGAAUAUUGCAGUGUACCAAAGACAAUGAAGUGGAGCAGGAAGAUCUAGCACAGUCCUUGAGCCUGGUGAAGGAUGUGAUUGGAGUUGUAGACAGCAAAGUGGCAAGUUAUGAAAAGAAAGUGCGUCUCAAUGAGAUUUAUACAAAGACAGAUAGCAAGUCAAUCAUGAGGAUGAAGAGUGGUCAGAUGUUUGCCAAGGAGGAUUUGAAACGGAAGAAGCUUGUACGUGAUGGGAGUGUGUUUCUGAAGAAUGCAGCAGGAAGGUUAAAAGAGGUUCAAGCAGUUCUUCUCACUGACAUUUUAGUUUUCCUUCAAGAAAAAGACCAGAAGUACAUCUUUGCAUCAUUGGACCAGAAGUCAACAGUGAUCUCUUUAAAGAAGCUGAUUGUGAGAGAAGUGGCACAUGAGGAGAAAGGUUUAUUCCUGAUCAGCAUGGGGAUGAAAGAUCCAGAAAUGGUAGAAGUCCAUGCCAGCUCCAAAGAGGAACGAAACAGCUGGAUUCAGAUCAUUCAGGACACAAUCAACACCCU
This 1400-nucleotide small RNA is filed under the name Pongo abelii (Sumatran orangutan). RNAcentral's name for it is "retained intron". The record is from RNAcentral. Lineage: Eukaryota; Metazoa; Chordata; Mammalia; Primates; Hominidae.